This 255-nucleotide ribosomal RNA is filed under the name uncultured bacterium. RNAcentral's name for it is "partial 16S ribosomal RNA". It matches the Rfam family "Bacterial small subunit ribosomal RNA", at positions 524 to 776 of the family's 1533-position model. The record is from RNAcentral.
UACGUAGGGUGCAAGCGUUAAUCGGAAUUACUGGGCGUAAAGCGUGCGCAGGCGGUUAUAUAAGACAGUUGUGAAAUCCCCGGGCUCAACCUGGGAACUGCAUCUGUGACUGUAUAGCUAGAGUACGGUAGAGGGGGGGAUGGAAUUCCGCGUGUAGCAGUGAAAUGCGUAGAUAUGCGGAGGAACACCGAUGGCGAAGGCAAUCCCCUGGGCCUGCACUGACGCUCAUGCACGAAAGCGUGGGGAGCAAACAGG